CCUACGGGUGGCUGCAGUAAGGAAUAUUGGUCAAUGGACGAAAGUCUGAACCAGCCAUGCCGCGUGGAGGAUGAAGGUCCUCUGGAUUGUAAACUUCUUUUAUAUGGGACGAAAAAAGGCCUUUCUAGGCCGUCUGACGGUACCAUAUGAAUAAGCACCGGCUACCUCCGUGCCAGCAGCCGCGGUAAUACGGAGGGUGCAAGCGUUAUCCGGAUUCACUGGGUUGUAGGGGUGCUGAUAUGUCUGUGGUGAAAUCUCCGAGCUUAACUUGGAGACUGCCAUUGAUACUAUUACACUUGAAUAUUGUGGAGGUUAGCGGAAUAUGUCAUGUAGCGGUGAAAUGCUUAGAUAUGACAUAGAACACCAAUUGCGAAGGCAGCUGGCUACACAUAUAUUGACACUGAGGCACGAAAGCGUGGGGAUCAAACAGGAUUAGAUACCCUGGUAGUC
Molecule: ribosomal RNA, 450 nt
Filed under: uncultured bacterium
Lineage: Bacteria
Description: partial 16S ribosomal RNA
Rfam family: Bacterial small subunit ribosomal RNA
Source: RNAcentral